GGGGCUUAGGAUAAUACCUAAACCAAGAGCCUUCAAAGCUUUAAAUGAAAGUGAAAAUCUUUCAGCCUCUGAU
RNAcentral lists this transfer RNA (73 nucleotides) under Chaenogobius annularis (forktongue goby). Its description in RNAcentral is "tRNA-Trp". It matches the Rfam family "tRNA". From Rfam's summary of the family: Transfer RNA (tRNA) molecules are approximately 80 nucleotides in length. Their secondary structure includes four short double-helical elements and three loops (D, anti-codon, and T loops). Lineage: Eukaryota; Metazoa; Chordata; Actinopteri; Gobiiformes; Gobiidae. The record is from RNAcentral.